This 159-nucleotide ribosomal RNA is filed under the name Striaticonidium cinctum. RNAcentral describes it as "5.8S ribosomal RNA". It matches the Rfam family "5.8S ribosomal RNA". Rfam says of the family: 5.8S ribosomal RNA (5.8S rRNA) is a component of the large subunit of the eukaryotic ribosome. It is transcribed by RNA polymerase I as part of the 45S precursor that also contains 18S and 28S rRNA. Functionally, it is thought that 5.8S rRNA may be involved in ribosome translocation. Lineage: Eukaryota; Fungi; Ascomycota; Sordariomycetes; Hypocreales; Stachybotryaceae. The record is from RNAcentral.
AAAACUUUCAACAACGGAUCUCUUGGCUCUGGCAUCGAUGAAGAACGCAGCGAAAUGCGAUACGUAAUGUGAAUUGCAGAAUUCAGUGAAUCAUCGAAUCUUUGAACGCACAUUGCGCCCGCCAGCAUUCUGGCGGGCAUGCCUGUUCGAGCGUCAUUU